Molecule: ribosomal RNA, 543 nt
Filed under: uncultured bacterium
Lineage: Bacteria
Description: bacterial SSU rRNA
Rfam family: Bacterial small subunit ribosomal RNA
Source: RNAcentral
CCAGACUCCUACGGGAGGCAGCAGUGGGGAAUAUUGGACAAUGGACCAAGAGUCUGAUCCAGCAAUUCUGUGUGCACGAUGAAGUUUUUCGGAAUGUAAAGUGCUUUCAGUUGGGAAGAAAGAAAUGACGGUACCAACAGAAGAAGUGACGGCUAAAUACGUGCCAGCAGCCGCGGUAAUACGUAUGUCACGAGCGUUAUCCGGAUUUAUUGGGCGUAAAAAGCGCGUCUGGGUGGUUAUGUAAGUCUGAUGUGAAAAUGCAGGGCUCAACUCUGUAUUGCGUUGGAAACUGUAUAACUAGAGUACUGGAGAGGUAAGCGGAACUACAAGUGUAGAGGUGAAAUUCGUAGAUAUUUGUAGGAAUGCCGAUGGGGAAGCCAGCUUACUGGACAGAUACUGACGCUGAAGCGCGAAAGCGUGGGUAGCAAACAGGAUUAGAUACCCUGGUAGUCCACGCCGUAAACGAUGAUUACUAGGUGUUGGGGGUCGAACCUCAGCGCCCAAGCAAACGCGAUAAGUAAUCCGCCUGGGGAGUACGUACGC